UGGGGAAUAUUGCACAAUGGGCGAAAGCCUGAUGCAGCGACGCCGCGUGAGGGAUGACGGCCUUCGGGUUGUAAACCUCUUUCAGCAGGGAAGAAGCGGAAGUGACGGUACCUGCAGAAGAAGCACCGGCUAACUACGUGCCAGCAGCCGCGGUAAUACGUAGGGUGCGAGCGUUGUCCGGAAUUAUUGGGCGUAAAGAGCUUGUAGGCGGUUUGUCGCGUCUGCUGUGAAAAUCCGGGGCUCAACUCCGGACUUGCAGUGGGUACGGGCAGGCUAGAGUGUGGUAGGGAAGACUGGAAUUCCUGGUGUAGCGGUGGAAUGCGCAGAUAUCAGGAGGAACACCGAUGGCGAAGGCAGGUCUCUGGGCCACUACUGACGCUGAGAAGCGAAAGCAUGGGGAGCGAACAGGAUUAGAUACCCUGGUAGUCCAUGCCGUAAACGUUGGGCGCUAGGUGUGGGACUCAUUCCACGAGUUCCGUGCCGCAGCUAACGCAUUAAGCGCCCCGCCUGGGGAGUACGGCCGCAAGGCUAA
This 532-nucleotide ribosomal RNA is filed under the name uncultured Janibacter sp. Its description in RNAcentral is "bacterial SSU rRNA". It matches the Rfam family "Bacterial small subunit ribosomal RNA", at positions 355 to 897 of the family's 1533-position model. The record is from RNAcentral. Lineage: Bacteria; Bacillati; Actinomycetota; Actinomycetes; Micrococcales; Intrasporangiaceae.